Molecule: ribosomal RNA, 205 nt
Filed under: uncultured bacterium
Lineage: Bacteria
Description: partial 16S ribosomal RNA
Rfam family: Bacterial small subunit ribosomal RNA
Source: RNAcentral
AGUUCGGAUUGGAGGCUGAAACCCGACCUCCACUGAAGUUGGAUUCGCUAGUAAUCGCGCAUCAGCCAUGGCGCGGUGAAUACGUUCCCGGGCCUUGUACACACCGCCCGUCAAGCCAUGGGAGCCGGGGGUGCCUGAAGUUCGUGACCGCAAGGAGCGACCUAGGGCAAAACUGGUGACUGGGGCUAAGUCGUAACAAGGUAAC